AAAUUAAAAAAUUAUAUAAUUAUAACUAGAUUCACAACAAUCUCACCACCAAUACUGUAAAAAUACAUACAUUACCAUUGAGAAAUGCUUACUACUAUUAGUAUCAAAAUGACAAUUUGUAUGGAACAUUGUUAUUCGUACCCCUAUGGUCUUGAGAAAUUACAUACCAUUACUAGAAUUUUGCACUUUUCUGUCAUAAUGUAGGUAUGCAAUUAUUCUCCAGCAAGGAUUUUCUUUUUAUCAUUACUAUUAUUAAAUAAGAAUAACAAAAUGAACCACUAGACUUUAAACCAAUGGUUAGAACCCAAAACUCACAAUUGUGAGGUUAUGUAUUCGGACCUCUCACAAUAUAUUGUGGGGGUUUAAUUUCUUUCCUCAAUUUGAGUAAAGGUAAUAUUCUCCCUUUCAAAAUGUGAGUAGUGUAGACGUCUCUCGAAUAUUAGAGAGGUUAAAAAUCUGAGCAGUGCUUUAUAAGAAUUGAUGUAAACUAGUCCCAGUAAUAGUCUGAUUUGUAAAUAUUUGUAAUCUUAUGUAAUAUGAGUGGAGGUGGCCAAUAGGUCGAACGGCACGGGGCACACCACGUGUCCGUACAGCACGACACGAGUACGUUUCGGUAGAGUACGCGGCACGGCACGGCACACACGUGGGCUGGACCUGGCUUAGAAUUUUAAGCACGUAGGCCUUAAAAACACGGCACAAUUAGAGAUGGGUCAAAGUACGGCACGCAAAAAAGUACGCAAUGAAUAUGUUUCAUUUUUUAAUGAAAGUAAACUUAAAAUUUCAUGAUUUUAUAAAAAAGUUGAAAUUGAAUCUUUUAAUAUAUUUUAUUAGCUUCAGUUUUUAAAAUUUAUUUAAUUCUUA
This 861-nucleotide long non-coding RNA is filed under the name Citrus x clementina. RNAcentral's name for it is "Citrus clementina (C. clementina) long non-coding RNA (CCLE_LNC001850)". Lineage: Eukaryota; Viridiplantae; Streptophyta; Magnoliopsida; Sapindales; Rutaceae. The record is from RNAcentral.